This 27302-nucleotide long non-coding RNA is filed under the name Triticum aestivum (bread wheat). Its description in RNAcentral is "long non-coding RNA (TAES_LNC005163)". Lineage: Eukaryota; Viridiplantae; Streptophyta; Magnoliopsida; Poales; Poaceae. The record is from RNAcentral.
AUUUGUGGCGUCGUAAACACCGGAAUCUGUUAAAAUGUUUUGACAUGAGUUUGAAGACGUUAGUGUUACAACUAUAUCGGGGGAAGAAGUCGCAAAUUAACUUUCUUACAUUCUUUGUAUUGAAUGCGAAAGUGCUAGAGUCAGUGACACUUGGCAUCACAACCAGGAAUAACAAUGAGAAGUUCUUGGCAAAACAACGCAGGAAGCUUGAGCUAGAGAACAGGGUUUCCAGAGAUGCUCAGUUUCAUUUUAGAACUGGUAGUUGUGUCCGCAGUUCUUAUGAUAUCAAGCAUAUCGGUGAUUUGGAUUUAACCGAUCCAUUUGCACAUAUGUAGCUACUUGUUCUCGCCGGUUGGCCUAUUUCAUUUUGUGUGUUGUCAAACCUGAGUGGUUAGCGUGUUUGUAGUACCUUUUGAGUUUGUAUCAUCUGGUACCUUAGUAGAAUUCGAGAGACUAUUGUUUAUGAUACUUUUGUCAGACGGGCCACAUGUUUGCAACCCUGUGCUAGUUUACAUUAACUCCGGUGUUGGUGUUAUUUCACAUUAUGUUUUAUGGCAUUGUUCUCCGAGUCUCUUUCUUGUUGCCUGUCAACACUGAAUACUUGCCUGAUUUCCCUGAAUAGUGCUGUUGAAGUUAUCGUUUGAUCAACAGUGAAUCACUGAACUCUAUGCUGAAUGUAAAUCUCACCAUUAAAGUUCAACUCUGCUGAUUGUUGUAAUGAUUUUGAAUACCAUUAUCUGAGUAAUACUUGGCACAUAUUUUCGAACUCAUUAUAUGCUCGAGAUGAGAAAUCUGAAGACUUGCUGCUAAAUUGGAACUUUGUUUAAAAACUGAAACAAUAUGUUGUAGAUAGAUUACUGUUAGCAGCAGGAUUUGGAUGAUUCUGAAACACUCUCAAUAGCCGCUGCAGAUCAUCAUUUGUUGUAUCCUUCAGAAGAUACUCAAAUGGUUCCAUGCAAUGUACCUUUGUCAUGUAUACUAUCUGCACCUGAUUUGAUCCGAGCCAUGACAGAAACAGCAGGCUCGAGACCUCUUGAUUGUAUGCUUAUAUAUAUGACUAUGAUACCUUGUGUCAUUUAAACAAGGCAGGUGUAUGUCUACGCUGUCGAUCUUAGCUGCCACUCCCUCUGCCCUACAAUAUAAGACCUGGUUAAUUGUUGAUGACUUCACCAAGCCACUCACCCUGUGGUUUUACUCCACUGAUGUCUCAUUUGAUUUUGUGCAAUGUUGCAUGAAUGUAGAUGCCUAGUUUGGGAGGUGUGCGUUUUGAAGAAUUAGUUAGUAGUGAUAGCCAUAUGACAGAGUCGGAUAAGUGUUUUUUGAGGCCCGGGCUCCCAGAGAAGCUCCAUGAAAGGAACCAAGAGGAAAUUCAACAAGAUUUUUUCCGGUUGCGUGGAAGGUGGGAUUGGAUUGUUAAACUCAAAUACAUGAAAGCCGGGGUUUUGGAUCACCUGUUCUUACCGAGUGUCCAAAAAUAAAAUUUCAGCAGAAGCAAUAUGAUGACCAUGUUAAGGUAAUUGAUAUUUCAGAUUGCACCUAGUUAGACCAUUUGUUCGUCAUUCUAAUUUUGUUUCAUUGUUAUUUGUAUUUUCCAGAGAUACCUCAAGGACACGGAAUUUUUUAACAAGAAUAUCUUCAACUUUUGGUGGAUGAAGUCUCUCUGGAGCCCUAUACCAGCUGAGCGAGCACCACGAUAGAGUGCAGCAUCGGUGAGGAGUGGCGCAAGCUCAAAGAAAGUGAGUGAAGACGGCGAUGACUUUAUGCCAAGCAAACGAGGUCAGGACUGAGGCAAGGCUCAUGUUGCAUCUGACAGGGGUGGCCGUAGAAGAAAGUGAGAGCGGCGACGAUGACUUUAUGCCAAGCAAAAAAGCUCAGAACAGAUCGAAGGGUUGUGAAAGCUCAAAGAAUGGUAGAUUAAGUAAGAGUGUAGCAUCAUCGAAGGGCGCUGAUGCUGAUUACGAUUCCGCUGAUGAGUGUGCAAGCCUAAGGAAGACCUAAAAGGUCCUCUUCGGCCUGAGCGAGGCCGACAGGGUCAUACAUAUUAUAGGAAAUUGUUGAAAAUCUAUAUUAAAAAAUUCUUUAGAAAAUGUUAAGGGUCAAAAAAAUGGUUCUUGGUGUGCACAAAAAAUGUAGGACGUGUAUUAAAAAUUCUUAACAUAAAAACAUAUAAUUAAAAAAUAUGUUCCUGAUAUAUGCUUAAAAUGUAGAUUAUGUAUGGAAAAGGUAGUUAUCAAACACAAUUUUUGAAAUUGUAAUCAUCUAUUUCAAAAAUGUAAAAUGUGUAUCAAAAAAUGUCCUGAUGUAUAAAAAUGUAGAAGCCUCUAGUGAAACCUAUGGCCCUCGGGUCUAUUUUUCAUCAUAUAUUUUCAGAUCUAUAAACCAUAAAUAUCUUGUUGAAAUUUAUUUACUUUUAUUUUGUUUUAUGUUUUAGUAUUUUUUUAUAUCUUAUCUCUAUCAGAUCUCACCUUUGCAAGUGACAGUGAAGGGAUUGACAACCCCUUUAUCGCAUUGGGUGCAAGUGUUUGAUUGUUUGUAUAGGUGCAUAUAUUAGAGACUUGCUUGUAUCUCCUACUGUAUUGAUACCUUGGUUCUUAACUGAGGGAAAUACUUAUCUCUACUUUGCUGCAUCACUCUUUCCUCUUCAAGGGAAAAAUCAACGGAAGCUCAAGAAGAAGCAAUAUGGUAGUGUUUCUCAAUAUCGGUUGGUAUUGAGAUUCAUUUCGACAUCUCAUUUAGAGGCCAUCAAAAUAGUCAUAUUCGGGAGGCCCAACACCAAUUCCAAAAUCCGAGCCUCAAAACAAACAUCCAAACGGGGCCUUAGGCUAUUAUUUUGUAUGUGUGAUUUCAAUCCUUGGGUAGGUGCAUUUGUAUGGUUGGAACCAUCAACUCUCAUGCAAUGCUAAAAAAGGAAACCGAGAAGCCUGGUGUAGGAUCGAAAGUUUUUCUAGAAGAGGGUGAUUAACUACUUGACCAAAUAAAAAUCUAGCCUUUUCCCAAUUUUAAGUCUUGGUAGAUUUUAACAACUUAGCACAAGUCAAGCAAUCAACCUACACAUGCAAGUCUAAGAGUAUAGCAGCGAAAUGUAAAACAUUGCACAUGAAGGUAAAGGAAGGAGUUUGGAGGGAGCAAACGCAAUGUAGACAAGGAGAUUUUUGGCGUGGUUCUGAUAGGUGGUGCUAUCGUACAUCCACGUUGAUGGAGACUUCAACCCACGAAGGGUAAUGGUUGCGCAAGUCCACGAAUGACUCCACCCACGAAGGGUCCACGAAGAAGCAACCUUGUCUAUCCCACCAUGGCCAUCGCCCACGAAGGACUUGCCUCACUAGGGUAGAUCUUCAUGAAGUAGGCGAUCUCCUUGCUCGUACAAACUCCUUGGUUCAACUUCACAAUCUUGACGCAGGCUCCCAAGUGACACCUAACCAAUUUAGGAGACACCACUCUCCAAAAGGUAAUAGACGGUGUGUUGAUGCUGAACUCCUUGCUCUUGUGCUUCAAAUGAUAGUCUCCCCAACACUCAACUCUCUCUCACAGAUUUGGAUUUGGUGGAAAGAUGAUUUGAGUGGAAAGCAACUUGGGGAAGGCUAGAUAUCAAGAUUCAAAUGGUUGGAAUGGAAUAUCUUGGUCUCAACACAUGAGUAGGUGGUUCUCUCUCAGAAAAUGAAUGCUGAAGUGUAGGCACGUUCUGAUGGCUCUCCUUACUAAUGAAGGAAGGAUGGAGGGGUAUAUAUAGCCUCCACACAAAAUCUAACCAUUAGACACAAUUUACCAAACUCGGUGGGACCGAAUCAGAAAACUCGUUCAGACCAAUUUAGUUCAAAAUGUGAGCGUUAGGUUUUUUGGUGGGACCGACAUGUCAACUCUGUGGGACUGAUUUCAUUAGGGUUAGGGCAUAACGUAAUCUCGGUGAGACCGAUUACACAAACUCGGUGGGACCGAUUUUGGUAAUAAGCUAACCAGAGAGUUGGUUAGGAAAACUCAAUGGGACCGAAUCGCUCAUUUCGGUGAGACCAAAACGUUACGAAAGGGAAACAAAGAGUUUGCAUUGCGAACUCGGUGGGACCGAUUGCUCAUAUUGGUUGGAUCGAAACAUUACGAAGGUAAACAGAGAGUUUGCAAUCCCAUCUCGGUGAGACCGAGAGCCCUAUCGGUGAGACCGAAGUGACUAGGGUUUGUGGCAGUGACUAUCUCAAGUGAACUNNNNNNNNNNNNNNNNNNNNNNNNNNNNNNNNNNNNNNNNNNNNNNNNNNNNNNNNNNNNNNNNNNNNNNNNNNNNNNNNNNNNNNNNNNNNNNNNNNNNNNNNNNNNNNNNNNNNNNNNNNNNNNNNNNNNNNNNNNNNNNNNNNNNNNNNNNNNNNNNNNNNNNNNNNNNNNNNNNNNNNNNNNNNNNNNNNNNNNNNNNNNNNNNNNNNNNNNNNNNNNNNNNNNNNNNNNNNNNNNNNNNNNNNNNNNNNNNNNNNNNNNNNNNNNNNNNNNNNNNNNNNNNNNNNNNNNNNNNNNNNNNNNNNNNNNNNNNNNNNNNNNNNNNNNNNNNNNNNNNNNNNNNNNNGGUGGCGCCGGAUGAAACAUUUUUGGUGGGGCCGAGUUUGAUUUUUGGUUUGGGACAUAUGUGGAUAUGAGAAGGUGGUUAAGGGUUUUUGGAGCAUAUCACUAAGCAUUUUGAGCAAGCAAGCCAUUAAGCAACACCUCAUCCCCUUUUAAUAGUAUUGCCUUUUCCUAUGGACUCAAUGUGAUCUUGGAUCACUAAAAGUAAAAUGUAGAGUCUUGAGCUUGAGCCAAUAUGUGUCCUUAGCAUUUUGAGGGGUCCACAAUCCUAAUCCAUGCCAUGCCAAUCAUUGAACUUUCCUUAAAUAUUUAUCUUGAAAUAGCAUUAGCUCAAUGAGCUAUAUGUUGUUAAUAAUUACCAAAACCACCCAGGGAUAGUGGCACUUUCAAUCUUCCUCUUUUUGGUAAUUGAUGACAACAUAUAGAUCAAAGCUUCGACAAAUGAUAAUAAGAUUUAAAUACAUCGUCGCUUUGAGAAGUAUGUGAUAAGCAAGAGCUCUCCCUAAAUUUGUGCACUAUUUUAGAUUUGCUUUUUAAUGCAAAUGUACAAUCGAUUAGGAUCACGGGUCACUCUUCCAUGUCACAUACAUCUUGGUGGAGCGCUCAAAAUGAUAUAAAUUAAAACAUGCACUCAUCACCAAGCAAAGUGAAUAAUCAUAUAAGAAUAUAAAGAAUAAUGUCAUCCAAGCAAACAUUAAAGUAGCAUGUGAUCAAACACAUGAUCAUGCAAGUAUCUCACAUAGACAUAAAGUAUCAAACAGGCACACAAUAAAGUUCAACCAAAAUGCAAGAGAGACACAUGAGGGAAACACUCUCUCUCGAAGCCUAUGAUCUAUACAUUUCUCCCCCUUUGGCAACAAGUUACCAAAAAGUUUGAAAAUUCAUAGUGCUAUGCGUCUCUCAGGCUUGGUCUUCGGGAGGUGGUGUAGAGAGAACUCCAAGGACGAAGGCAUCAGUUGAUGUGGUUGGAGCUGAUGGAGCAGGUGCUAGAGGUGGCACUGAAGCUGUCGCUGCUGGUGCAGAUGAAGUAGCUCUUGUAUCUGAUACUGGCACUACAGCUGACCUCUGAUUCCUUGGCACACGCUGAAAAGCAUCCGUAGUUGCAUUCCCUCUCUUCUCCUCUGCUUCCUCCUAGAGCUGCUCGACUGCACUCUAUAUCUCAGUCACCUUGAGGUCAAGAUCAUACAAUUUUGUCUCAACAAUCCUUUCCAAGCUUUCCUAAUUCUGGGUCAGGGUGGCCAAGCCCUUCUCAAUCCUCAAUGUUGCCUGAAUUAGAUAACCUAGCUGAUCUUGUUUGCUCUUUAAGAAUACCUGAGAUGCUUCCUUAGCACUUGGCAUCCUUGCAGCCUUUUCUGUCUUUGCCUUAGCUCUCUUCUCUUAUGCUUGUGCUGAUGAAGGUUCAUUCUCAUUCAUCACAACUGUGUUAUCUUCAAAAUCUUGGUGCAAGGGUAAAUGCUCCUUGUCCAACAAGUAAGUACAUGUGCCGAUCUUUGAGUUAAUGAGCACCUGAAUGCGUGGAGCAUACCCACAAGAUCUUUUCUGGUUAGUAGCUAUCCUCUUGAUUGUCUCCACAAUCAGACUCAUGACCUUGAAUUUUUGUGGUACAUCAAAGAUUUGCAGCAAGUUGAUGGAUUGCCUUAAGAUGGUGUUCAUAGUAGGCAGACCAGACAACAAAUAGUGCACAAAUCCAAACUUGUGUGUCUCCAAAGCUUUGUCAGGGAUCUCCUUGUACAUGUUUGCCAUAAAGUUGUGGUCCUUCUUCUUUUUGGCAUACACAUCCAAAUCAUCUUCUUGCUCUUCUGAGGCAUUGAUCAACUUGGCCCAUUCAUCAAUAGUUGAUUGGUACCUCGUACCUUCAGACAUCCACACGAUUCUGCCAUCUGGAUAGAAAUGAGUAGUGGAGUAGAACUGCAUAAUGAGUUCAUCAUUCCAUUUGGUCAACUUUUGACCCACAAACUCAUCAACUCCACAAGCUUUGAAGCUUUCAUGUACACCUGGGAAGAAGUCUUCAUUCUCAUUAAUGAAUUCCCAAUCGACCCAUUUCAUAUCACAGACAAUUGGCUUCUUGUCAAGCAGAAUGGUCUCAUAGAAAUCUUGUUGUUCCUUGGUGUGGAACCUAUAGUCCAAUGUAGUUCUCCUUCUUACAACAUAUGGAUCAGACUGCCUCCAAAGUCUCAAUCCUGCAUCCUUUCUGAUGUUCAUGUCCUCAGCCACUGGAUGAGUGUCAUUGUGUUCUGAAAUCUUUGGUUUCGGUUUUCUCAGCACUUGGGCUUCUGCAUCUUCUUCUUCAGCUUCAGGCACUGGUGCCUUGUUCUUUUCUUCAGUAGGAAUGUUUCCGGUGCUUCUCUUGGGUUUAGAAGGCUUAUGAGCUUGAGCUGUUGCUUUGGGAGCAAUUUUGGGCUUUGAUGUUGCAGCCCCUGACUUGAUUGCAUCUCCCAUGAGCUUCUGAGACUUGGGUGCUGGUGCAGCAUCCUCUUCAUCUUCAUCUUCUUCUGGCUCUCUCAUUAUGGAGGAUCUACCAAGCACUCUGGCAGUUAUCUUCUUGACCCUCUCAUUCCUCUUCUUUCCCUCUCCAGCAGCCUCUCCAGUUGGCUUAGAUGUUUCAGCAGUUGAGACUCUGACCUUUAAGGUUGGCACCCUCUUGGCAGGGGCCUUCUUGUGCAGCAGUACCCUUCUUGACCAGGCUUUGUAGUUGCAGCAGUACCAUACUAUUGUUGGGGAACAUAGUAAUUUCAAAAAAAAUCCUACGCACAUGCAAGAUCAUGGUGAUGCAUAGCAACGAGAGGGAGAGUGUUGUCUAUGUACCCUCGUAGACCAUAAUUGGAAGCGUUAUGACAAAGCGGUUGAUGUAGUCAUACGUCUUCACAAUCGACCGAUCCUAGCACCAAAAGUAUGGCACCUCCGCGAUCUGCACACGUUCAGCUUGGUGACGUCCACGAACUCACGAUCCAGCAGAGUGUCGAGGGAGAGCUUCUGUAACACCCUCGAUGGGGCUAUAUCUGCCACGUGUCGAAGCACGACUUAGAGGCAUAACCGCAUUGAAAGCAAUGUCGCAAGUGAGGUAAUCUUCACAAACAACCCAUGUAAUACAAUAGGGGAAAAGAUACAUAGUUGGCUUACAAUCUCCACUUCACACAAAUACAUGAAUACAACAUUACAACAUCCAAAUACAAUCAAGGUCUGACUACGGAACCAAAAUAAAAGAAGAACCCCAAAAGCGACAAGGUCCCCGAUCGACCCCAACUAGGCUCCACUACUGAUCAACUGGAAACAGAUCAACACAAAGGCCAAGAUCUUCAUCGAGCUCCUCCUAAGCUUGGUUGCGUCAUCUCCACGAACUCAUCGGCACCUGCAAGCUUGUUUGGAAGUAUCUGUGAGUCACGGGGACUCAACAAUCUCACACCCUCGCGAUCAAGACUAUUUAAGCUUAUGGGUAAGGUAAAAGGUAUGAGGUGGAGCUGCAGCAAGCGACUAGCAUAUAUGGUGGCUAACCUAUUCGCAAAAGAGAGCGAGAAGAGAAGGCAAAAGCACGGUCAAACAACUAUGAUCAAGAAGUGAUCCUAGAACAACCUACGUCAAGCAUUACUCCAACACCGUGUUCACUUCCCGGACUCCGCCGGAAAGAGACCAUCACGGUUACACACGCGGUUGAUGUAUUUUAAUUAAGGUCAACUUCAGGUUUUCUACAACUGGACAUUAACAAAUUCCCAUCUGCCCAUAACCGCGGGCACGGCUUUCGAAAGUUCAAAUCCCUGCAGGGGUGUCCCAACUUAGCCCAUCACAAGCUCUCACGGUCAACGAAGGAUAUUCCUUCUAGCGGGAAGACCCGAUCAGACUCGGAAUCCCGGUUACAAGACAUUUCGACAAUGGUAAAACAAGUCCAGCAACACCGCCCGAAUGUGCCAACAAAUCCCGAUAGGAGCUGCACAUAUCUCGUUCUCAGGGCACACUCAGAUGAGACAUCCUACGAGUAAAACCAACCCUCAAGUUGCCCCGAGGUGGCCUUGCAGUCUACUCGGUCGGACCAACACUCAAAGGAGCACUAGCCCACGAAGGGUAACGGUUGCGCGAGUCCACAGAGGGCUCCACCCACGAAGGGUCCAUGAAGAAUCAACCUUGUCUAUCCCACCAUGGCCAUCACCCACGAAGGACUUGCUUUACUAGGGUAGAUCUUCAUGAAGUAGACGAUCUCCUCGCCCGUACAAACUCCUUGGUUCAACUCCACAAUCUUGAAGGAGGCUCCCAAGUGACAGCUAACCAAUCUAGGAGACAGCACUCUCCAAAAGGUAAUAGAUAGUGUGUUGAUGAUGAACUCCUUGCUCUUGUGCUUCAAAUGAUAGUCUACCCAACACUCAACUCUCUCACACAGAUUUGGAUUUGGUGGAAAGAUGAUUUGAGUGGAAAGCAAUUUCGGGAAGGCUACAGAUCAAGAUUCAAAUGGUUGGAAUGGAAUAUCUUGGUCUCAACACAUGAGUAGGUGGUUCUCUCUCAGAAAAUGAAUGCUGAAGUGUAGGCACGUUCUGAUGGCUCUCAUUACUAAUGAAGGAUGGGUGGAGGGGUAUAUAAAGCCUCCACACAAAAUCUAACCGUUACACACAAUUUCACAAACUCGAUGGGACCGAAUCAGAAAACUCGGUCAGACUGAUUUAGUUCAAAAUGUGAACGUUGGGUUUUUUGGUGGGACCGACAUGUCAACUCGGUGGGACCGAUUUCAUUAGGAUAGGGUAUAACGUAAUCUCGGUCAGACCGAUUACACAAACUCGGUGGGACGAUUUUAGUAAUAAGCUAACCAGAGAGUUGGUCAGGCAAACUCGGUGGGACCGAAUCGCUCAUUUCGGUCAGACCGAAAUGUUACGGAAGGGAAACAGAGAGUUUGCAUUGCGAACUUGAUGGGACCAAUCGCUCAUCUCGGUUGGAUCGAAACAUUACGAAGGGAAACAGAGAGUUUGCAAUCUCAUCUCGAUGAGACCGAGAUCCCUAUCGGUGAGACCGAAGUGACUAGGGUUUGUGGCAGUGGCUAUGUCAAGUGAACUCGGUGGCGCCGGAUGGAUCAUUUCGGUGGGGCCGAGUUUGAUUUUUGGUUUGGUACAUAUGUGGAUAUGAGAGAGUGGUUGAGGGUUUUUGGAGCAUAUCACUAAGCAUUUUGAGCAAGUAAGCCAUUAAGCAACACCUCAUCCCUUUUUAAUAGUAGUGGCUUUUCCUAUGGACUCAAUGUGAUCUUGGAUCACUGAAAGUAAAAUGUAGAGUCUUAAGCUUGAGCCAAUAUGUGUCCUUAGCAUUUUGAGGGGUCCACAAUCCUAAUCCAUGCCAUGCCAAUCAUUGAACUUUCCUGAAAUAUUUAUCGUGAAAUAGCAUUAGAUCAAUGAGCUAUAUGUUGUUAAUACUUACCAAAACCACCCAGGGAUAGUUGCACUUUCAACUGGUAUUUUUUAUGUAUAACAUUGAAAAAUUGUUUUGAGAAACCACAAAAUUUGUCAUGUCUUUGAGGUGGGAGUGCCGAAUGCUGCCAGCCAUCCGAAAUUGGUGUAAGAAAACUAAAGCAGAAUUGGAGCAGGGUGAUAACAUAGCAAAGCGACAUGAUGAUUGAAGAGCUAAAUCCGAGAGGCUCGUUAUAGUUUCAUUUGUUGGCUAGUGGCAAUGCAUGGGCAUUUAAUUUUAACAUACUAGUGGGUUCUCUAUCCACACUUGUCGUAUUCAUAAUUCAGGUUGCAUCCCACCAAUAUUCAAUUAGCCAUGAUGACAUGGUAAGAAUAGUUUGUUGUAGCGACCACACCUCAAAUGUUCUGAUCUCUGUGCUCAGGUGUCAUCCCUGGAUCAAUAAUGCUCACACCACACAGUACUCGGAGUAUUUAUAACAGAGUAGCAAUCACACACUUAUUACAAUGAAUAUGGCUUAAGGCCAUCUAAUAACGAUAACAGCGGAAGGCUUGGAAGAUAAGUGAGUCCAUCAACUCCAACGGCAUCACUGAGUAUAGAACCACGACCUAAAACUCCUUAAUCAUCGUCUGAAAAGUCUGCAACAUUAACGUUGCAGCCCGAAACGGGUCAGCACAUGGAAUAUGCUGGCAAGGUAACACAUAGAGAGUAAUGGAAUGAAACAACUAUAGUAUAUGCAUAUUUGGCUGGUGGAAAGCUCUAUGGUUACAGUUUUGCGUAAAGCCAAUUUUCCCCUACUGCAAAGGAAUAAAUUUUAUUUAACUAUCAUGGUAGUUGUUAAACAUUGAGAAUGGUUGACAACAUUCUCAAUCCCAAUUAAGCAUCAUCAUUAAACAAAACCCAACAAAAUUGAUUUUUAGAGUAACAUGUUGAGAUUCACAUGAUAAUCCAAGUACUAGAUACUCAAGCUGUCCAUAACCGGGGACACGGCUAACCAUGAUUAGUUUAUACACUCUGCAGAGGUUUGCGCACUUUUCCCCACAAGACUCGAUCGUCUCUAUUUGCUUUCUCGCACUAUAUGGUGUUUGAGAAGACGGAUGACCGAGACAUAGUCUUUCAAAAGCGCUAGCACCUUACGAUGGAUAGACCGUUACACCUACUUUCCCCUACAUCUGCUAGUCUACCCUAUAAGAGUUCGCACGACUUAAUCAACUAUGCUAGAGCCCAUAAUAGCUUGUGGCUGCACAUGGAAGUUUCUAGUAUGAAAAAUCUCACGAUCCCUUUGGGCCUGGGUGGCGGUCCAUAAAGAAAAACAGGCAAUCCUGGAAUACCCAGGUACCUCAAUCCACCCAGAUGUGUGUUUAAGUUUCCACCUUAGAUAAACCAUUAAUUAACAAACUCACAUCUGUCAUGGAUAUCACUCACCCAAUCCAUGUCUACUAGCAUAGCAUGGCAUAAUAGGCAACGUAGAAGUAACUCCCAAAGGUUUGAUAAUAUAACAGGUAAUAGGUACUACCUCAACUACUUCCCAUCCCACAAUUUAAUUAGAUCCUAAUCAUGCAAUGUUUGAGGAUUUAUCUAAUGCAAUAAAACUGGGUAGUAGGAGGUAUGAUCAAAGUGUUACUUGCCUUGCUGAUGAUCCGUGAAACCUAGCGAUUCGAAGUAACAGGCGGCGCACUCCGGGUAUUCUAUCGCAGACAAACAAACAAGCAUACAAUAAGUAUUCAUCUAAUGCACAGGUAAAACUCGAAUAAGAGAUCGAACUAGAAGGUUCAACUUAAGAACUCCGGUUUGCAAAAAGAAUCAAAUCAAACGAAGGAACGAAAGUCAAACGGCAAAAGAAACAAGCUUCGUUUACUAUUCUGGAUCUAGGGCAAUUUUUAUAGUGGCAAAAACUUGUUUAAGUUGGUUAAACGGAUAGAGGGUUUCGAGACGAAACUCCAGGCGCUUGAAUCGCCUGAAUCCGAUAAACGAGCGAAAAGUUAUACUAAAACGAAAAUCAGAUCAGGAAUCGCGAUCAGAAAAAUCGCGGAUUUAAUCCGAGAAAAAGAAAAACGACGAACGUUCGCUAGAAUGAAUGAACGGACGAACGCUCGCUAAAUAAAUAAAUCGGAAAAACCAAUCUAUUUAAAAAAAUGAAACUAAAAAAAAUUAAAAAAAACCGCGACUUUUUUUCCUCUUUAUUUUUAAAUUAUUCCGCGCAGAAAAACAAAUAAAAGAAAUACUAAACAGACUCCAAAAAUCCCGAAAUAAGUUUUCUCGGGCUUCUAAAAUAAAGCCGCACAAGGUGAACAUUUAUUUGGGGCCUAAAUGCAAUUUUGAAAAAUGCACAUGUUUCCUAAAUUCAAAUAAAAUACCGAAAAACUCUGAAAUAAAAUCUUAUUUGAUUUUAUUAUUAAAUCCUCAAUAUUUCUUUAUUUUGGGGAAGUCAUUUUAUUCUCUCUCUCAUAUUUUUGUAAUAGAAAUAAUUGAUGAUAAAAUAAUUAAAAUCAAAUGAUCCUAUUCGCAAAAUUUGAGAAAACUCAAAUAUGAAAAUAAUGAAAUCCCCAACUCUCUCCGUGGGUCCUUGAGUUGCGUGGAAUUUCUAGGAUCAAAACGAAAAGCAAAUAAAUUAUGAUAUGCAAUGAUGGUCUAAUGUAUAACAUUCCAAAUUGAAAAUUUGGAAUGUUACAAACCUACCCCCCCUUAAGAUGAAUCUCGCCCUCGAGAUUCAGGUUGGCUAGAAAAUAGGUGAGGGUGGUCCUUGAGAAAAUCUUCCUCUCGCUCCCAGGUGGCUUCAUCCUCCGUGUGGUGGCUCCACUAAACCUUACAGAACUUGAUAACCUUGCUGCGGGUGACUCGACUGGCAUACUCUAGAAUCUUAACUGGUUUCUCCUCAUAGGUCAAAUCGUUAUCCAACUGAAUUGCUUCCAAUGGCACGGUGUCUCUCAAAGGUAUGUCAGCUAUCUCUGCGUGGCACUUCUUCAACUGAGAAACAUGGAACACAUCAUGAACUCCUGACAAUCCUUCGGGCAAUUCCAACUUGUAGGCCACUUCUCCCAUACGUUCCAAUACUCGGUAUGGUCCUACAAAUCAUGGCGCUAACUUUCCUUUAACACCAAAGCGCUUUGUUCCCCGAAGUGGGGAUACUCGAAGAUAAUCUCUAUCUCCAACUUCGUAAACUGUCUCCUUGCGUUUAGAAUCUGCAUAACUCUUCUGUCUGGACUGGGCUAUCUUGAGCCUAUCGCGAAUCAAUUUCACCUUCUAUUCAGACUCCUUAAUCAAGUCAGGUACAAACAACUGGCGGUCUCCAACUUCAUCCCAUGUCAAGGGUGUCCUGCACCUCCUUCCGUACAAGGCUUCGAAAGGGGCCAUCUUUAAACUGGAUUGAUAGUUGUUGUUGUAAGAGAACUCUGCAUACAGCAAAUUCUCGUCCCAACUAGAUCCAUAAUCUAGCGCACAAGCUCUCAGCAUGUCCUCCAAAAUCUGAUUGACUCUCUCGGUCUAUCCAUCUGUCUGUGGAUGAAAAGCUGUGCUGAACUCUGGCCUAGUACCCAAAGUUUCGUGCAACUAAUUCCAGAACUUUGAGGUAAACUGGGUUCCUCUAUCUGAUACUAUACUCCUCGGAACACCAUGUAAGCAUACAAUCCUGGUCAUGUAUAUCUUUGCCAACUUAGCACUGGUGUAAGUGGUCUUUACCGGGAUGAAAUGAGCUACUUUCGUCAACCGAUCAACUACAACCCAAAUCGAGCCAUAGCCUGAACAAGUCCUGGGUAAUCCCGUGAUAAAAUCCAUGCCUAACUUAUCCCACUUCCAUUCGGGUAUCGGCAAUGGCUGUAGCAAUCCUGCUGGCUUCUGAUGCUUUGCCUUUACUCUCUGACAUACAUCACAAACUGCUACAUACUCUGCAAUAUAUUUCUUCAUUCCGGUCCACCAGAAAAUAUCCUUCAAAUCCAAAUACAUCUUGGUAUUUCCUGGGUGAAUCGAAUAUGGUGAAUUGUGUGCCUCUUGCAGAAUCAACUUCCUGAUCUCUGGGUCACUUGGCACAUAAACACGGUCUUCAAACCAUAGGGUGUCGUGCUCAUCCUCACGAAAUCCUUUAGCCUUUCCUUCGCUCAUUUUCUCCUUUAUAGAGGCAAUCUCCUUGUCAGUCUUCUGAGCUUCUCUGAUUCUAUCCAUCAAAGUUGACUGAAUCUCCAAUGCUGCUACAUAGCCUCUCGAAACUAUUUCCAAACAUAGUUCACGAAUAUUUUCGGCUAACUCCCUUGGUAUUUCUCCCGUUAUUAGUGUAUUGACAUGGCUUUUGUGACUUAAUGCGUCAGCUACUACAUUAGCCUUUCCGGAUGGUAAUGCAAUCUCAUAUCAUAAUCCUUGAUGAGCUCCAACCAUCUCCUUUGUCUGAGGUUCAACUCCUUCUGCGUGAAAAUGUACUUCAAACUCUUGUGAUCCGUGUACACCUCACAAUGAUUUCCAAAGAGGAAAUGUCUCCAAGUCUUUAGUGCAUGCACUACGGCUGCUAACUCCAAAUCAUGCGUAGCAUAAUUCAACUCGUGAGGUUUAAGCUGUCUUGAGGCAUAUGAAACAACUCUCCCUUCCUGCAUAAGCACUGCUCCAAGUCCUUGACGUGAAGCGUCGCAGUACACCUCAUAAUCCUUGGUCUGGUCUGGCAAAAUCAACACUGGUGAAGUAACCAAGUGUUUCUUCAACUCCUGGAAACUAGCCUCACACUCCUCAGUCCAUAUGAACUUGGUAUCCUUCUUCAACAACUCUGUCAUAGGCUUCGCAAUCUUUGAGAAAUUCUCAAUGAAUCUCCGGUAGUAUCCUGCGAGUCCAAGGAAACUCCGGAUCUCUCCAACUGUUGUUAGUGCCUCCCACUUGGUCACGGUAUCAACUUUAGUGGGAUCUACUGAUAUACCUUCUCCGGAUAUAACGUGUCCGAGGAAUCCUACUUCCUUCAACCAAAACUCACAUUUGCUGAACUUGGCAUACAACUGAUGUUCUCUGAGCUUCUCAAGUACCAAUCGCAAAUGCUCCUUAUGCUCCUCUUCACUUUUCGAGUAAACCAGAAUAUCAUCAAUGAACACCACGACGGACUUAUCCAAGAACUCCAUAAACACUUUGUUCAUCAUGUUCAUAAAAUAGGCAGGUGCGUUAGUCAGACCAAAUGACAUAACGGUAUACUCGUACAACCCAUACCUGGUGGUAAAAGCUGUCUUAGGUAUAUCAUGUUCUCGAAUCUUCAACUGGUGGUAUCCUGAUCGCAGAUCGAUCUUGGAAAAUACCUUAGGUCUUUGCAAUCGAUCAAACAGAUCAUUGAUCAUUGGUAGUAGGUACUUGUUUUUGAUGGUUACUUCAUUCAAUCCUCGAUAAUCAAGAACCAUCCUUAACGAUCCAUCCUUUUUCUCCACUAGAAGUACUGGUGAUCCCCAAGGCAACGAACUUGGGCGAAUGUAACCUUUAUCCAGUAACUCCUCAAUCUGCUUCUUAAUUUCCACCAAAUCCUUUGCAGGCAUCCUGUAUGGUCUCUUUGAUAUUGGCCCUGUGCCUGGCAAUAGCUCAAUCAAAAACUCAAUAUCUCUAUCCGAUGGCAUGCCUAGCAACUCUUCUGGAAAUACUUCAGGGAAAUCCCUUACCAUUGGCACCUCCUCCUGCACAACUCCUGUUAAACAAUUUACUUGAGUCCCUUUUGGCACAUGUAGGGAUACAUACUUGAUCCUUCUUCCUUCUGGGAUAGUAAGCAAAAUUGUCUUACUGGCGCAAUCAAUGUUUCCUCCGUACAUCGGCAGCCAAUCCAUACCCAAAAUUACAUCUAAUCCUUGUGAUUCCAAAAUGAUUAGAUCCGAGGGAAACACAUGCCUACCUAUACUCAAUGGCACUUGAAUACAUCCUUGACUGGCCAUAUACUCCACUCCUGGUGAGCUUACUAGCAUAGGUGUUCUAAGAACCUUAGUGGGCAAGUUAUACUUAUCCACAAAUCCCGUAGAUAUGUAUGAAUGUGAUGCACCAGUAUCAAAAAGAACGAGUGCAGUAAUUGACUUAACCAAAAACUUACCGAUUAUGGCAUCCGGUUGCUCUUCAACCUCCUCCACAUUAACGUGGUUCACCUGUUCCCUGUUGAAAGGGUUUGGCUUCUUCCUAGAGCUUCCAUUGUCAUUCUGGCCUUCAGGACAUUCAUUGGCAUAAUGUUCGGUCUUCUGGCACUUAAAGCAAGUGACUUGGCUCAGGUCCUUCUUGGCUGGGGUUGAUGGGUUGGUGCGAUUCUGGCCAUUGCUUCCUCCAUUCCCAUUACCAUUCUUGGUGCCGUUGUGAUUGUGCGAGCUACCUCCUCCAUGGGUAUGCUGAAAAUGUCCUCCCGGUCUAGGGGUAAAACGUGGCUUCUGCUGAGCUCCCGAAUUGUACUUCCCUUGUCCAUACUUCCUCUUGCGGUUCUCAAUUUGCUGCUGCUUGCCUUCAAUCAUAAGAGCACGGUCUACCAACUCCUGGUAGUUGUUGAAGGUUGCUACCAUCAACUGCAUGCUCAACUCAUCAUUCAGUCCUUCCAGAAACUUCUCCUUCUUAGCUGCAUCCGUAGCAACAUCAUCUGGGGGCAUAACAUGCUAAUUUACUAAAGUCCUCCACAUACUGGCCAACUAUUCGUCCUCCUUGGCGCAAGUUGCGAAACUCUCACUUCUUCAUGGCCAUAGCUCCUGCUGAAACAUGGGCAGUACGAAAAGCCUACUGAAACUAGUCCCAAGUGACAGUAUCGACGGGAAAAGUGGCUGUGAAAUUCUCCCACCAUGAUGCUGCGGGUCCUUCAAGCUGAUGUGCGGCAAACUUCACCUUCUCCGCAUCUGUGCAUCCUGAUGUGGUCAACUCUCUAGCGGUCUUGCGGAGCCAAUCAUCUGCUACUAUCGGCUCGAUGCUAUUGGAAAACACCGGCGGAUUCAGCCUAAGAAAACAGGCUAAGUGAUCAACAGGUGGUGGUGGUGGUGGUGGGUUGUUGUUGUUGUUCCCCUGAUUCUGAUUCUGGACUAGCAACUGCAUCAAUGUGUUCUGCUGCUGGAUCAACUAGGUGAGCUCCGGUGGAAAGGUAAAUCCGGGGUCACGUCUCGGAGGCAUCUGAGGGUUUAGAAAAGAUGAGAAUUUAGAAUAGAGGGGGUCUAAAGAGAAAACACUACCCAUAUGCACAUGAGGCAAAAGCAAACAAUUCACUUCAUUCAAUCAAACAAGGGCAUACAAUCGAUCUCACUAUCGCAAAAGUGCUCGGACUACUGUGUUUACAUGGUGGACUACUACUACUGAUGAGGUGGUCUACUAGAAAUAUUCUUCGGUUGCAGACUCCAUGAUAUCUGCUCCGGCUUCAUCAACAUAGUCAUCAUCGCUGUCAUCUGGGUCUGAGUCGGUGUCACCGAUGAUGAUGUAGUCUUCCGGGCGAAUCUCCUUGGGUUCUUCGUCUUCAUCUACUAAUGUAGGGCCUCCCAUAAGUAUCCCGAUCUUCUUGAUCAGAUCGUCAUUCUUCUCCACCAAUACUUCAAUUUCCUCUUCAUAAUAUUCACGUGUAGCCUUAAGUUCUUCCUCUAGUUCCUUGAUUCUUGUCCUUGCCUUCUUCAGGUCUAUCAUGUCGGUGCACAUCUGGUUCUCCUGUCGUCGAAUGUGCUGGUUUAAUUCCUGGAUAAAAGCUGCAACUGAUCUAUCCUUCCUGGUGCUGAUCAUCUCCCAGUGUUCAUCUCGGCGCCCACAAAUCUGGUAGAUAGUAUCCUUGAGAUCAUUGCGGUAGACUUCUCCAAUGCGUCACAUGGCGAUGUGAGCUGCCAUGCUCUUUCCUAGACUCCAACUUGGUGCAUCAAAAGAAAACUCUAUCCGCUCAGUGACUGGCAUGAACGUCCUUCCUGGAACUUGAACUUGAAUCAUCCAGCGCUCUUCUUCAGGCAAAGUGGCAUUGUAGGUUCCGGUGAAGCUUGGUACUCCUAUGUUCAGGUAUCUAGUCUCUUCCUUCAAGUGACGUCCAAAGGGUGUAUUGUCAUCCGGUUGCGUGAACUUGUUCCUUGCAUCCGCCAUCCUAAAGAGUAGAAAAGAUGAGAGGUCAGAAGAGAAGAGAGUGAAUAGUGAUCUAGGUCUUUAGCUUAGUGGUCGUGUCCUACAGCCAGCGUGUGCUCUGAUACCAUCUCUGUAGCGACCACACCUCAAACGGUCUGAUCUCUGUGCUCAGGUGUCAUCCCUGGAUCAGUAAUGCUGACACCACACAGUACUCGGAGGAUUUAUAACAGAGUAGCAAUCACACACUUAUUACAAUGAAUAUGGCUUAAGGCCAUCUAAUAACGAUAACAGCGGAAGGCUUGGAAGAUAAGUGAGUCCAUCAACUCCAACGGCAUCACUGAGUAUAGAACCACGACCUAAAACUCCUUAAUCGUCGUCUAAAAAGUCUACAACAUUAACGUUGCAGCCCGAAACGGGUCAGCACAUGGAAUAUGCUGGCAAGGUAACACAUAGAGAGUAAUGGAAUGAAACAGCUAUACUAUAUGCAUAUUUGGCUGGUGGAAAGCUCUAUGGUUAUAGUUUUGCGUAAAGCCAAUUUUUCCCUACUGCAAAGGAAUAAAUUUUAUUUAACUAUCAUGGUAGUUGUUAAACAUUGAGAAUGGUUGACAGCAUUCUCAAUCCCAAUUAAGCAUCAUCAUUAAACAAAACCCAACAAAAUUAAUUUUUAGAGUAACAUGUUGAGAUUCACAUGAUAAUCCAAGUACUAGAUACUCAAGCUGUCCAUAACCGGGGACACGGCUAACCAUGAUUAGUUUAUACACUCUGCAGAGGUUUGUGCACUUUUCCCCACAAGACUCGAUCGCCUCCGUUUGGUUUCUCUCACUACAUGGUGUUUGAGAAGAUGGAUGACCGAGACAUAGUCUUUCAAAAGCGCUAGCACCUUACGAUGGAUAGACCGUUACACCUACUUUCCCCUACAUCUGCUAGUCUACCCUGUAAGAGUUCGCACGACUUAAUCAACUAUGCUAGAGCCCAUAAUAGCUUGUGGCUGCACACGGAAGUUUCUAGUAUGAAAAAUCUCAUGAUCCCUUUGGGCCUGGGUAGCGGUCCAUAAAGAAAAACAGGCAAUCCUGGAAUACCCAGGUACCUCACUCCACCUAGAUGUGUGUUUAAGUUGCCACCUUAGAUAAACCAUUAAUUAACAAACUCACAUCUGUCAUGGAUAUCACUCACCCAAUCCAUGUCUACUAGCAUAGCAUGGCAUAAUAGGCAACGUAGAAGUAACUCCCAAAGGUUUGAUAAUAUUACAGGUAAUAGGUACUACCUCAACUACUUCCCAUCCCACAAUUUAAUUAGAUCCUCGUCGGUGUCAAAACCGGCGGAUCUCGGUUAGGGGGUCCCGAACUGUGCGUCUAGGCCAAAUGGUAAUAUGAGGCAAGGGACACGAAGUUUUACCCAGGUUUGGGCCCUCUUGAUGGAGGUAAAACCCUACGUCCUUCUUGAUUAAUAUUGAUGAUAUGGGUAGUACAAGAGUAGAUCUACCACGAGAUCGGAGAGGCUAAACCCUAGAAGCUAGCCUAUGGUAUGCUUGUUGUUCUAUAUGUUGUCCUACGGACUAAAACCCUCCGGUUUAUAUAGACACCGGAGAGGGUUAGGGUUACAUAAAGUCGGUUACAAUGGUAGGAGAUCUACAUAUCCGUAUCGCCAAGCUUGCCUUCCACGCCAAGGAAAGUCCCUUCCGGACACGGGACGAAGUCUUCAAUCUUCUAUCUUCACAGUCCAGGAGUCCGGCUGAAGGUAUAGUCCGGCCAUCCGGACACCCCCUAAUCCAGGACUCCCUCAGUAGCCCCUGAACCAGGCUUCAAUGACGAUGAGUCCGGCGCGCAGAUUGUCUUCGGCAUUGCAAGGCGGGUUCCUCCUCCAAGUACUUCAUAGAAGAUUUUGAACACAAAGAUAGUGUCCGGCUCUGCAAAAUAAGUUUCCACAUAUUGCCAUAGAGAGAAUAAUAUUUACACAAAUCUAAUCUGCUGACGUAUUCCGUAGUGUGACGCACCACGACCAAGCCUUUAUUCGAAUCGUUUUAUUAUCCCACCUCAGCGCAUCAUGCGAGGCGGUUUCCUUGGCACGUCUUGUCGAAGCAGAGAUCGUGUCCCCUUAUUCCGGGAUUCUCAUCAAUACGGGCGUGGGUAACCCAACCGCGCCAUUGAUUACGGCGCUUGGGGAUAAGCGAGUUUUACCAGGCUGGUGGGGACACGUAGUUGCGUCCACCCAUAUAAGGGGAUAAGGAUCCACCUUUUUACCUACGCCUUCUUCCUCCUUUGCCCAUCCAUUCUUGCGCACUCGAGCUCCAGCGCCCAAAUCCACACUCCCCACCUCAACCUCCUCCAGCCAUGUCCAGAGCGGGAGGCAAGUGGAUGGUCUCCUUCGUCACGGAGGGACACAUCAAAAAACUGAGGAAGGCCGGAUACUUAUCCAACGACAUCGCGUACCGGCUUCCCGAAGAGGGGCAACUCCUCCCCACCCCAAGGCCCCAUGAGAGGGUAGUGUUCCUUUCCCACUUCCUCCGCGGACUGGGCUUUCCUAUCCACCCAUUCGUCCGGGGACUCAUGUUCUACUACGGCCUGGAUUUCCAUGAUCUGGCCCUGAACUUCAUCCUCAACAUCUCGGUGUUUAUCGUCGUGUGCGAGGCUUUCCUCUGCAUCCGCCCCCAUUUUGGCCUAUGGUUCAAGACUUUCAGUGUCAAGCCGAAGGUGGUGCGCGGCAACCAGGCGGAGUGCGGAGGCGCCAUGGUGGGCAAGAUGCCCAACGUCUUAUGGCUCGAGGUCUCCUUUGUGGAGACCCUGAAGGGGUGGCAAUCGGGGUGGUUUUACAUCACCGAGCCGCGCGACCCUAAGUGGAUCGCAGCCCCCGAGUUCCGGUCCGGACCCCCAACGCGGCUCACGUCCUGGAAAGUGACGGGCCUGUCGUGGGGUAGCAAAGGAGAGGUGACUGGACUGCAAACAUGCAUCGAAACCCUGGUGGACAAGCAGCUUAGGCUUGUCAACAUAGUCCAGGUUAUGCUCAUCCGCCGGAUCCUCCCGUGUCAACAACGGGCCUUCAAUCUGUGGGAGUUCAACCUGGAGCAGCACCGAACUCUGAGCAGGCUCUUCGACACGACGUAUGAAGAUGUUUGGAAGGUGCUUUUCAAGGGCGCCGAGGCUCCCGCAUCUGCUACCGAGGAUCGCGGAUUCAGCGCGCAGCGUCAUGCUAGCGCGGUAAGUUGUUUGUACCUUUUACAGGGUAUUUGUUUUUCAUAGUUUAACUCUAUGCGGGAUCUAAGCUCCCUUACCUUUGACAGGUUUGGCAGGCGAAGUUCGGACAGAUCGACUGUCCGGCUCCUUUGCCCGAAGACCCAGCCGAUGCCCGCUUGGCAAAGCUGCUGGUUCCGGCACCCUAUGUGGUGCCGGAGAAGAAGGCCACGAAGAAAGCCACGGGGACUCAAAAAAGUGCCCGGCGCCAGGAGGUGCCGAGUUCAUCAUUCGACGGCUCCAAGGCGCACUCCUCCCGUGAGGACGAGGAGGAGGAAGAAGAGACCUCUCCCCCUCUAGCGGGGGGAGACAAGAAAAGGAAGGCCGCCCUCACUGGGGAGGCUGGAGGGUCCAAGAAGGGGAAAACCCUUCCUCUGGACUACUCCACCAACGCCGACGACGGCGGAGAGGAGUGGCCGCUCAGGGCCAAGCCCCUGGCGAAAUCGUAAGUAUCCGGAUACCAGAGUAAUUCAUAGUAUUCCUUUAUUGCACAUCUUUCCCUUAUGUCGAAUAUGUUUAUGCAGCCCGCCCAAAGACCGGCUCGACGCGUCGUCGAGCGGUUCACUAGACUCGUCAGAUGUGAAUUCGCUUCCGACGGCUUCCUCCCCCCGCCCUACGGACGACGCCGAAGUGUUGUCCCAAUGGGUUCCAAGCCAGGAGGAGGUGGUCCUGGAGGCGCCGCAAGGCAACCUCCCGGACUCCAGGAGUAAAGGGGAUAAAACCCCCCAGGGCUCCAAGUCAGGCCAUAGGCCGGACACCGCUCUGGAACCUUCAAAGGUUCCUGAGUCCGGCGGGCGACCUCCUUCCAAGAGGAGCAAGCCCACCGUGCCAGUGACCCCCGUCCAACGGGAGGCGUCGGACAAUCUGUUGGAGGUGCUCAAAGGCGCCUCCAUCGACGAGGAGCACCGCACCAUUAUGAGUGCGGUGGUCCAGAAGGUUCAGUCCGCCAAAAGCAGACUGACUGAAGCUUGUACUAGCCUUUUAAUAGGCUUUGAGGUAAGUAAAGAAUGUGUAAAUAAUAUUACCGCAUAGACAGUAGCCCCUGAUGCUCUGUUUGGCGUUCGGGAAGAAAAGCCGAAUAGAGGAUCAAAUAAAAUUCGCAGGAGUCUAACAAAAAGGAGUCAAUAUGCGUAUGCAGGCUUCUCUACUAGCGUCCACCGUACUGACUGCGGAAGUGGACAUGCUAAAGCAGAACCUUGAGCAGUCCGAGCAAGAGCUCGGGCGUGCCAAGAAGCAGCUCGAGGACAAGGAAGGUAAGAAAUACCUUGUUUAAAUAUAUAUAUAAAAGUGCAAUUGCAAAAAAUGACAGGAUUAUCGUGGCUAUUGUAGGGGCCACGUCUGAGGUGGCGACCCUUAAGCAAGCGCUGGUCGAGGCCGAGAAGAGGGCGGCCACGGAGUGCACCGAGAGGGAGAAGUAUGAGGCCUAGGUUGGCAAGGUGCAGCAAGAGCUCCAUGCUCUCAUGAAAAAACAUGAGAGUUUGGAGCUUAACUCAAAGACGCGAGCGUCCGAGCUCGCGGUGGCUAUUGAAAAUGCCAAGUCUGCCAAGGCCGAAUCCCAGAAGACCCUCCAGGAGUUGGAUGCGGUGAAAAAGAUAGCGGCGGGUAAGGCAUUCUUUAUGCAAAGCAAACACAUAAGCAUGAGUUACUUGUUACUUACCCGAAUCCGGAGCUCUCCAGGAGCAUUCGUAGAUCUUCCCCGUAGCAUGUCCGAUGCCGCCGCAUUCUAUCGAGCCGAGGAAGGCAGCUCGACAGAGAAGGUGUUCUGGUCUCAGUAUGCUGAGGCCGGACACCCCGUGCCCCUGAGCGACCAGCUGAAGCAACUGGUCGAGCUCCACAAGGCGGCCGAACAGGCCAUGAAGGGCCUCAUAGUUCGGCUGUGGCCUGGAGAGGCUCUGCCUGGGAGCUAUUUCGGGCUGGUGCGGCGGCUGGUGGGGGCCUGUCCAAGGCUCGAAGUCAUCCAGCUCUCCGUCUGCAUUGAAGGUGCCCGUAGGGCCCUUUCCCGUGCCAAGGUGCACUGGGGCAAGCUGGAUGCUGAGAAGCUUGUGAAGGACGGGCCACCGCCGGGGAAAGAGCAUCGCAAGCCCGAGAAUCAUUAUACAGAUGUUCUGAAGGGUGCCCGCCUUGUGGCGGAUGAAUGUUCGAGGGAUGUAGUUUUUGAGUAAAACUCGCUCGUUUUGUCCUGUGCGCUGAAAACGUGUUCAUAUGCGCUAAGCAAUGCUAUUGGAAUUUAAAAUAUUACCUUCUGUGCGGCUGUUUAUCAAUUCUGAGAGAUGGCGAGUCGUCGGCUUCUACCCCCGUGCUGCUAGUGCUGGGGUGUUCGGGGAUAAACCUGAGCGCUCUUUUUCCCAUGUUUGGGUCCUUCGAGGGAGGCGCUCAGCACAACGAACAAGGCAAUCGGACUAUAAUGCGUGAACACUCUCACUUAGCCAUAGAAUUCUAUAAUUUUAGGUUUCGGUGAAGCCCCCGGUAUUCGGAAGACCGAGUUCGGGGCGCUAUCCACGCGUUGGCCGGACAGAGCCGACUCCUCGCUCUAAGUGGCAUAAGUCUUUACGGACUCGAAAAACCUCUCGAACAGCGACUGGCUCUCGCUUCAAUAUGACAGUCAGUUUUAGCUUUCUCUACUGAGGUGCUCGACCUAGCUCAACUGGGGCACAAUCGCAGUAGUUCUCCUAGUGCUACCUUAGCCGAUAUAGCGGAAUGUAAGGCACCAAAACAUAGGAUCCGGGCAAACCCAACUAUUGACCCAAGACAUGAUUCGGAGCCGAUGCAUAUAAUGCUAUAAGUUCGGGGUGCCGCACUUGUUAAAGUGUUCGGACUUCUCACACCAUAUUGAGGGGUACUAAAGCCCCUGGCGUAUUUUGGCCGUACCAAAGUGUACGGGUGCAACAUGUCGUUAAGGAACAUAUAUUUAUAAAAAAAGUAAUGCAAAGAGAGACAAAAGCUAUGCAUUGUUUAUUAAAAAGGGCUGCGAUCAAAGCAGAACGAUACAAAUAAUGCGAUAAGCAAAAGGUUGGACUAUUUAACAUGUCCGUUCCAGGGGCAGGCUGCGGAAUGGUAUGCAAAACAGGUGUACUGCUCAUGAUAGAAACCACCUGGGAGUUCCGUGAUGCGACAUGGCUUGUCGCUUCCCUGGUUCUUGCAUCGUUUGUGCGGCAAUUGAACUGCCGAACAGGCCUUUCGAAGAGUGGAGUCUUGAAAGUAAGAUAAAAUUAAAAAAUCGGCAGCCCCUGGUGCGGUUUAAGCCAUGUUUCGGGCGUGCCGUGAUGGUGCCCCUCCCCCUGUACCCAUGGUAUUUCUAAAGCGUAGUUAUGUACGCGAAGUACUGGUGUCGCAUUUUUGCAAGGGCUGGGGUUGGGGCCGCAUUGCUACGCCUGCUCGGAACGUGCCAGGCGGUCUUGUUGUAGGUUACUUCGGGUGCGCUUGACGGUGUCCGGACGUUUAAUGGCCGGACUGGAGAACUGCCUGGAGAGGCUGCUUUGUACUUCCACUGCAAGGGCCGCCGUGUGCUCCUCCGUUCAGAGAGAGCGUUCGGUGUUUCCAUUCACCGUAAUUACUCCUUGAGGGCCUGUCAUCUUGAGCUUAAGGUAUGCGUAGUGCGGUACCGCAUUGAACUUGGCGAAUGCGGUUCGCCCGAGCAGUGCGUGAUAACCACUGUGGAAUGGGACUAUGUCGAAGAUUAACUUCUCGCUUCGGAAAUUAUCCAGAGAUCCGAAGACCACUUCAAGUGUGACUGAGCCUGUAGAGUUGGCCUCUACACCUGGUAUUAUGCCUUUAAAGGUCGUUUUGGUGGGCUUAAUCCUCGAGGGAUCUAUGCCCAUUUUCCGCACUGUAUCCUGGUAAAGUAGGUUCAGGCUGCUGCCGCUGUCCAUAAGGACUCUAGUGAGAUGAAAUCCGUCAAUGAUUGCGUCUAGAACCAAUGCAGCGAAUCCGCCAUGACGGGUGCUAGUGGGAUGGUCCCUUCGAUCAAAGGUGAUCGGGCAGGAGGACCAUGGGUUGAACUUUGGGGCGACUGGCUCUACCGCGUAUACGUCCCUUAACGCGCGCUUCCGCUCCCUCUUGGGGAUGUGGGUUGCGUAUAUCAUGUUCACUGUCCGCACUUGUGGGGGAAAACCCUUCUGUCCACUGUUGUUCAGCGACCGGGGCUCUUCGUCGUCAUCGCUUGCCUGCCUGCUUGAACACCCAACAAUCCCUUCUGUCCUCGUGUCUUUAUUUUUGGCAUUUAACUUGCCUGCCUGCUUGAACACCCAACAAUCCCUGUUGGUGUGAUUGGCCGGCUUUUCGGGGGUGCCAUGUAUCUGGCACAAGCGGUCUAGUAUUCGAUCCAAACUGGAUGGGCCACUAGGAUUUCUUUUGAAUGGCUUUUUCCGCUGACCGGAUUUAUAGCCUCUGAAUCCGGCAUUAACUGCCGUAUCCUCAGCAUUGUCGCCGUUAGUGCGGCGCUUCUGCUUGUUGUGAUGCGACCUGCCACUACUGUCCCUGGUAUCUGAAUUACCAGGGUUCUUGGUCAUAUUGUUGCUACGAGCAAGCCAGCUGUCUUCUCCCGCGCAAAAGCGGGUCAUGAGUGUCGUGAGUGCUGCCAUAGAUUUCGGCUUUUCCUGUCCAAGGUGUCGGGCAAGCCACUCGUCAUGGAUAUUGUGCUUGAAGGCUGCUAGGGCCUCUGCAUCCGGACAGUUGACUAUUUGAUUUUUCUUUCUUAGGAACCGUGUCCAGAAUUGCUUGGCCGAUUCCUCUGGCUAUUGAAUUACGCUCUGGAUAACCUUGAGGAGCUUGAUUUCAUCAACCAUCUGUUAGAGAAACCACAGCGGGCAUUGAUCCUCCGCUUCUCGCCCACCCUCCGUGUUGCCAACAUUGGUGGAUGCAACCUCUCGGACGUCAACUUCCAUGAGCUCCACCUUCACUUCCCCUUGCUUAAGCAACUCGGUCUUGUAAAUGUCAUGAUCUCGGAGAGCUCGCUGCAUAGCCUGAUUGCCGGGUGCCCAGCUCUCGAGUGCUUGAUGAUUGACAUGUGCUCUGGCUUCCGCCGCAUCCGAAUAAACUCCCCAACUAUUAGAUGCAUGGCUGUGAGAGAAUAUGGGAUACCGAUAGAGUCACUGCUGCUUGAACAAAUCGUCAUUGAGAAAGCUCCUUGUCUUGUGAGGCUGCUCUUUGAGAGGGGCAAUAUUCUGCAGGUAACCGUACUCGCAGCUCCUAAACUGGAGACUUUAGGCUUCAUUAGUGAUAAGUGCAGGUCAGGUGAAUUGUCCAGACUCAUGAUUGGCUCCACUAUUAUUCAGGUAUGUCCUAUGGCUUCUCAGUUGCAUUUCUAUGCGCAGAAAAAUUGCCUAUCACCUGACCUGUGCACUGGCCUAAUAUUGUGGCUUUCAUACUUGAUAAAGGGAUUGUGUGUUGAUAACCUGAUAACAGUGGUACAAACUGUCAAGAUUUUGGCUCUUGAUAUGCACAAUCUUAGUUUGGAUACUGUUAUUGAAUUGAUGAGAUGCUUUCCGUGCUUGGAGAAGUUGAGCAUUCAGGUGAUGUUUCUUCAUUGAUAGUUCAGCAACCUUUUUGAUCUACUUUUGGUCUGAACUUGUUGAUUUGGUUAUUUGUGUAUGUUAUUUCAGUCAUUUCAAUCAAGACCGGGGAAUUUGUGGCGUCGUAAACACCGGAAUCUGUUAAAAUGUUUUGACAUGAGUCUGAAGACGUUAGUGUUACAACUAUAUCGGGGGAAGAAGUCGCAAAUUAACUUUCUUACAUUCUUUGUAUUGAAUGCGAAAGUGCUAGAGUCAGUGACACUUGGCAUCACAACCAGGAAUAACAAUGAGAAGUUCUUGGUAAAACAACGCAGGAAGCUUGAGCUAGAGAACAGGGUUUCCAGAGAUGCUCAGUUUCAUUUUAGAACUGGUAGUUGUGUCCGCAGUUCUUAUGAUAUCAAGCAUAUCGGUGAUUUGGAUUUAACUGAUCCAUUUGCACAUAUGUAGCUACUUGUUCUUGCCGGUUGGCCUAUUUCAUUUUGUGUGUUGUCAAACCUGAGUGGUUAGCGUGUUUGUAGUACCUUUUGAGUUUGUAUCAUCUGGUACCUUAGUAGAAUUCGAGAGACUAUUGUUUAUGAUACUUUUGUCAGACGGGCCACAUGUUUGCAACCCUGUGCUAGUUUACAUUAACUCCGGUGUUGGUGUUAUUUCA